CCGCCAUUAACUCAACUGGAAGAGUAUUUAGCCUAUCAAGGCUAAGAGUCGAGGUUCGAUGCCUCGAUGGCGGACCA
This 77-nucleotide transfer RNA is filed under the name Providencia rettgeri. RNAcentral describes it as "tRNA-Asp". The record is from RNAcentral. RNAcentral also lists the same sequence under 2 other names. Lineage: Bacteria; Pseudomonadati; Pseudomonadota; Gammaproteobacteria; Enterobacterales; Morganellaceae.